GAUGAACGCUGGCGGCGUGCUUAACACAUGCAAGUCGAACGAUGAAGCCCAGCUUGCUGGGUGGAUUAGUGGCGAACGGGUGAGUCACACGUGAGUAACCUGCCCUUCACUCUGGGAUAAGCCUGGGAAACUGGGUCUAAUACCGGAUAGGAGCGUCCACCCCAUGGCGUGUGUUGGAUAGUUUUAGUGGAUUUGGAUGGACUCGCGGCCUAUCAGCUUGUUUGUGAGGUAAGGGCUCACCAAGGCGACGACGAGUAUCCGGCCUGUGAGGGUGACCGGCCAAACUGGGACGGAGACACGGCCCAGACUCCUACGGGAAGCAACAGUGGGGAAGAUUGCACAAUGGACGCAAUCCUGAGGCAGCGACGCCGCGUGAGGGAUGACGGCCUUCGGGUUGUAAACCUCUUUCAGUAGGGAAGAAGCGAAAGUGACGGUACCUGCAGAAGAAGCACCGGCUAACUACGUG
This 466-nucleotide ribosomal RNA is filed under the name uncultured bacterium. RNAcentral describes it as "partial 16S ribosomal RNA". It matches the Rfam family "Bacterial small subunit ribosomal RNA", at positions 28 to 507 of the family's 1533-position model. The record is from RNAcentral.